GACAUAGGUGGCAAGCGUUAUUCGGAAUUACUAGGCGUAAAGCGAGUGUAGGCGGGCGCUUAAGUCCGACGUUAAAUCUCCAGGCUUAACUUGGAGCUGUCGUUGGAUACUGGGUGUCUCGAGAGGGGUAGGGGGCAGUGGAAUUCCCGGUGUAGCGGUGAAAUGCGUAGAGAUCCGGAGGAACACCAGUGGCGAAGGCGGCUUUCUGGGUCCGCCCUGACGCUGAGGCGCGAAAGCGUGGGGAGCGAACGGGAUUAGAAACCC
Molecule: ribosomal RNA, 264 nt
Filed under: uncultured bacterium
Lineage: Bacteria
Description: partial 16S ribosomal RNA
Rfam family: Bacterial small subunit ribosomal RNA
Source: RNAcentral